Molecule: ribosomal RNA, 253 nt
Filed under: uncultured bacterium
Lineage: Bacteria
Description: partial 16S ribosomal RNA
Rfam family: Bacterial small subunit ribosomal RNA
Source: RNAcentral
GACAGAGGUGCCAAGCGUUAGGCGGAAUCACUGGGCUUAAAGCGUGUGUAGGUGGAUUUGUAAGUACCUUGUGAAAUCCCAUGGCUCAACCAUGGAACUGCUCGGUAUACUGCUUGUCUUGAGCCACUUAGGGGCUGUCGGAACAAACGGUGGGGCGGUGAAAUGCGUAGAUAUCGUUUGGAACGCCAAUGGUGAAAACAGACAGCUGGGAGUGUGCUGACGCUGAGACACGAAAGCCAGGGGAGCGAACGGG